UGAGGAGGACCUGUCCUGCUG
Molecule: unclassified non-coding RNA, 21 nt
Filed under: Mus musculus (house mouse)
Lineage: Eukaryota; Metazoa; Chordata; Mammalia; Rodentia; Muridae
Description: oocyte_clustered_small_RNA8346
Source: RNAcentral